RNAcentral lists this ribosomal RNA (720 nucleotides) under Triticum aestivum (bread wheat). Its description in RNAcentral is "partial small subunit ribosomal RNA". Lineage: Eukaryota; Viridiplantae; Streptophyta; Magnoliopsida; Poales; Poaceae. The record is from RNAcentral.
AUGGUUUGCAUCAUCCACAGGAUGAUCCAGUCUUGUAGCUAUACAGUAGAGGUGAAGGUUUGUGGCAGUGGAACCAAAAUCACUGGGGAUUCGAUAUUUAGUUGGCAGAUUAUUGAGGGUAGUAGGACAAGUAUGAAGGAUUUGCUGGCUUGUAUUGCCGGAAAUUUUGCUUUAUGCUCAGAGGAUAAUAUAUUUCUUGAGUACUUUGAUUCCAUUAGUGGCAAAAAUAUCUCUGUGUCAAAUGAUGAAGAAUGCAUGAAAAUGUUUGCCUGUUUUGAUCAUAAUAGAAGUGGCCAUUUGAUCAUCAAAUAUUCCGAGAGAAGUGAUAAUGUUGAUGUUCCAUGUACUCCUUCGAACCAAACACCAUCUAUAGCACUGCCUAGUCAACCAAGUAGCGUCAUUGAUGAAGCUAGUGUAUGCCUAACAGAUACAUAUCUUGACAAUCCGCAUGAAGAAUAUGAACAUGUUGGUGUAGAUGAGGAGGACCAGUACUCAAUUGGCAGUGUUGGUUCCGAUAGUGAUGAUGAGGUCAAAGAAAAAGAUAUACCAAAUAAUGAUUAUGUUGAGGAUAGCAGUGAUGAUGAGGAAUGGGUUGCAGAAGAUGCUAGACCGGAUGCUAUUCCAGAAAAUGCUUAUGACAAAGAAAACCCGCCAAUGCAUGUUGCGCAAAGUACCCCAACAUUGAAGAGUUUAGGUUGGCAAUUGCUACAUAUGUUGUAA